UACAGAGGGGGCGAGCGUUGAUCGGAUUUACUGGGCGUAAAGCGUGCGUAGGCGGCUUUUUAAGUCGGAUGUGAAAUCCCCGAGCUUAACUUGGGAAUUGCAUUCGAUACUGGGAAGCUAGAGUAUGGGAGAGGAUGGUAGAAUUCCAGGUGUAGCGGUGAAAUGCGUAGAGAUCUGGAGGAAUACCGAUGGCGAAGGCAGCCAUCUGGCCUAAGACUGACGCUGAGGUACGAAAGCGUGGGGAGCAAACAGG
This 253-nucleotide ribosomal RNA is filed under the name uncultured bacterium. RNAcentral's name for it is "partial 16S ribosomal RNA". It matches the Rfam family "Bacterial small subunit ribosomal RNA", at positions 524 to 776 of the family's 1533-position model. The record is from RNAcentral.